This 854-nucleotide ribosomal RNA is filed under the name uncultured bacterium. Its description in RNAcentral is "bacterial SSU rRNA". It matches the Rfam family "Bacterial small subunit ribosomal RNA", at positions 89 to 916 of the family's 1533-position model. The record is from RNAcentral.
GCAGAGAGUGCGAACGGGUGAGUAACGCGUGGGUAAUCUACCCUGUUAGUGGGGGAUAACCCUCCGAAAGGAGGGCUAAUACCGCAUAAUAUCUUUAUCCCACAAGAGGUAAAGAUUAAAGAUGGCCUCUAUACUAUGCUAUCACUUCAGGAUGAGCCCGCGUCCUAUUAGUUAGUUGGUGGGGUAAUGGCCUACCAAGACUACAAUGGGUAGCCGGUCUGAGAGGAUGUACGGCCACACUGGGACUGAGAUACGGCCCAGACUCCUACGGGAGGCAGCAGUGGGGAAUAUUGCGCAAUGGGGGAAACCCUGACGCAGCGACGCCGCGUGGAUGAUGAAGGCCCUUGGGUUGUAAAAUCCUGUUCUGGGGGAAGAAAGCUUAAGAGUCCAAUAAACCCUUAAGCCUGACGGUACCCCAAGAGAAAGCUCCGGCUAAUUAUGUGCCAGCAGCCGCGGUAAUACAUAAGGAGCAAGCGUUAUCCGGAAUUAUUGGGCGUAAAGAGCUCGUAGGCGGUCUUAAAAGUCAGGUGUGAAAUUAUCAGGCUCAACCUGAUAAGGUCAUCUGAAACUUUAAGACUUGAGGUUAGAAGAGGAAAGUGGAAUUCCCGGUGUAGCGGUGAAAUGCGUAGAUAUCGGGAGGAACCACCAGUGGCGAAGGCGGCUUUCUGGUCUAUCUCUGACGCUGAGGAGCGAAAGCUAGGGGAGCAAACGGGAUUAGAUACCCCGGUAGUCCUAGCUGUAAACGAUGGAUACUAGGUGUGGGAGGUAUCGACCCCUUCUGUGCCGUAGCUAACGCAUUAAGUAUCCCGCCUGGGGAGUACGGUCGCAAGGCUGAAACUCAAAUGAAUUGACGG